RNAcentral lists this ribosomal RNA (429 nucleotides) under Chloroflexota bacterium. RNAcentral's name for it is "Chloroflexi bacterium partial 16S ribosomal RNA". It matches the Rfam family "Bacterial small subunit ribosomal RNA", at positions 355 to 776 of the family's 1533-position model. The record is from RNAcentral. Lineage: Bacteria; Bacillati; Chloroflexota.
UGGGGAAUAUUGCACAAUGGGCGCAAGCCUGAUGCAGCCAUGCCGCGUGUAUGAAGAAGGCCUUCGGGUUGUAAAGUACUUUCAGCGGGGAGGAAGGGAGUAAAGUUAAUACCUUUGCUCAUUGACGUUACCCGCAGAAGAAGCACCGGCUAACUCCGUGCCAGCAGCCGCGGUAAUACGGAGGGUGCAAGCGUUAAUAGGAAUUACUGGGCGUAAAGCGCACGCAGGCGGUUUGUUAAGUCAGAUGUGAAAUCCCCGGGCUGAACCUGGGAACUGCAUCUGAUACUGGCAAGCUUGAGUCUCGUAGAGGGGGGUAGAAUUCCAGGUGUAGCGGUGAAAUGCGUAGAGAUCUGGAGGAAUACCGGUGGCGAAGGCGGCGCCCUGGACGAAGACUGACGCUCAGGUGCGAAAGCGUGGGGAGCAAACAGG